Molecule: ribosomal RNA, 1878 nt
Filed under: Prorodon sp. QZ-2012
Lineage: Eukaryota; Ciliophora; Prostomatea; Prorodontida; Prorodontidae
Description: eukaryotic LSU rRNA
Rfam family: Eukaryotic large subunit ribosomal RNA
Source: RNAcentral
ACCCGCUGGAUUUAAGCAUAUCAGUAAGCGGAGGAAAAGAAACUAACAAGGAUUACCUUAGUAACUGCGAGUGAACAGGUAAAAGCUCAAGUUGUAAAUCUAUGGUUUACGAUCAUAGAAUUGUAAUCUAAAGAAUUUCACAAAAGGUUAAGUCUUCUCAUAACGCCCUGAAAAGGGUGGUCAUAGAGGGUGAUAACCCCGUAGUUGGAGAAAGACUUGGCCGAAUGUGGGGAUUCGAUGAGUCGGGUUGUUUGGGAUUGCAGCCCUAAGUGGGAGAUAAACUUCUUCUAAAGCUAAAUAUUGAUGGGAGACCGAUAGCAAACAAGUACUGCGAAGGAAAGAUGAAAAGAACUUUGAAAAGAGGGUUAAAAGACGUGAAAUCGUUGAGAAGGAAGCUGUAGAAGAAAAUUAUUUGGAUGUGACGUUUGGAGCGAGAGGAAGAGCAUACGGUUUGUGGAGUACUUCAUUGGCUUGCAGAUCGAUAUGUAAUUCACUCUACUUCUUUUUCAUAUUCAAAAGACAAAAUGAAGUCACAGUUAUAAGAAAAACGCUAGGAAAAGCAAUCGGGCAACCGACCUUCUUAGUGAAAUAUAUAGCGUGGCUUGAGGGUCCUUCGGGAGAUUUUGUCAAAAUGGCUUCUACCGAUCCGUCUUGAAACACGGACCAAGGAGUGUAACACAUAUGCGAGUUUGCGGGUGCAAAAACCCAUAGGCGAAACGAAAGUGAGUAUAAGGUGUGAUGCUUUCUAUACUGGGAGCUGCAACAUCGACCAACCUUGAUCUUCUGUGAAGGGUUUGAGUAAUAGCAUAUCUGUUACGACCCGAAAGAUGGUGAACUAUACUUGAGCAGCCUGAAGCCUGAGGAAACUCAGGUGGAAGGGCGCAGCGGUACUGACGUGCAAAUCGUUCGUCAGACUUGAGUAUAGGGGCGAAAGACUAAUCGAACCAUCUAGUAGCUGGUUCCCUCUGAAAUUUCUCUCAGGAUAGCUGGAACAAAUCUAGCAGUUUUAUCAGGUAAAGCGAAUGAUUAGAGGACUCGGAGCUCCCAGAGCUUUGACCUAUUCUCAAACUUUAAAUUGGUAAGAACUAUUAGUUCUCUUAAUUGAACUAGUAGGUGGAAUGCUUGUUCCAAGUGGGCUUAUCGUGGUAAGCAUGUUAAGCAAUGAGGGAUGAACCUAACGCUGAGAUAAGGCGCCAAAAUUCCCGCUCAUCAGAUACCAUAAAAGGUGUUGAUUCAUAUAGACAGCAGGACGGUGGCCAUGGAAGUCGGAAUCCGCUAAGGAGUGUGUAACAACUCACCUGCCGAAUGAAUUAGCCCUGAAAAUGGAUGGCGCUGAAGCGGGAUGCCGAUACUCAGCCAUCAAAGCAAAUGCGAAGCUUUGAUGAGUAAGAGGGCGUGAACACGGUGCAGAAGCCUUUGGCGUGAGCCUGGGUUGAACUGUGUUUAGUGCAGAUCUUGGUGUUAGUAGCAAAUAUUCAAAUGAGAACUUUGAAGACCGAAGUGGAGAAGGGUUCCAUGAGAACAGCAAUUGGUCAUGGGUUAUCCGAUCCUAAGGCAUAGGGAAAUUCCUUGUAAUACAAGAGCAAUUUGCUCGUUGCCGAAAGGGAAUGAGGUUAAUAUUCCUCAGACUGGACGUGGAUAAUGUAUGGUAACAUAAGUGAGCCCGGAGACAUCGGUAUGAACUCCUGGAAGAGUUAUCUUUUCUUUUUAACAAUCUAUCGCCCUGAAAUGGGAUUAUCCCGAGCUAGGGCUUUAUGGUUGGCAGAGCAUUGCACUCUAUGCAAUGUCAGGUGCGUUCUUAACGAUCCUUGAAAAUCCGGGUAAGAGAUUUAUUCGCACGCCAGGUCGUACCAAUAACCGCAUCAGGUCUCCAAGGUU